Molecule: ribosomal RNA, 200 nt
Filed under: uncultured prokaryote
Description: partial 16S ribosomal RNA
Rfam family: Bacterial small subunit ribosomal RNA
Source: RNAcentral
UACGGAGGGGGCAAGCGUUGUUCGGAUUUACUGGGCUUAAAGGGCGCGUAGGCGGCUGCGCAAGUCGGGGGUGAAAUCUUUCGGCUCAACCGGAAAAGGGCCCCCGAUACUGCGGAGCUCGAGGGAGGUAGGGGCAGACGGAACUUCCGGUGGAGCGGUGAAAUGCGUUGAUAUCGGAAGGAACGCCGGUGGCGAAAGCG